GACGAACGCUGGCGGCGUGCUUAACACAUGCAAGUCGCGGGGGGUGAGCAAUCACUCACCGGCGAACGGGUGCGUAACACGUGAGCGACCUGCCCACUUGUGGGGUAUAGCCGGCCCAACGGCCGGGUAAUCCCGCAUACGCUUCUCUGGCUGCAUGGCCGGGGGAGGAAAGCCGUAAGGCGCAAGUGGAGGGGCUCGCGGCCUAUCAGCUAGUUGGCGGGGUAACGGCCCACCAAGGCGAUGACGGGUAGCUGGUCUGAGAGGAUGGCCAGCCACAUUGGGACUGAGAUACGGCCCAGACUCCUACGGGAGGCAGCAGUGGGGAAUCUUGCGCAAUGGUCGAAAGACUGACGCAGCGACGCCGCGUGCGGGAGGAA
RNAcentral lists this ribosomal RNA (377 nucleotides) under uncultured bacterium. Its description in RNAcentral is "bacterial SSU rRNA". It matches the Rfam family "Bacterial small subunit ribosomal RNA", at positions 28 to 412 of the family's 1533-position model. The record is from RNAcentral.